GAUGAACGCUGGCGGCGUGCCUAAUACAUGCAAGUCGAGCGAACAGACGAGGAGCUUGCUCCUCUGACGUUAGCGGCGGACGGGUGGGUAACACGUGGAUAACCUACCUAUAAGACUGGGAUAACUUCGGGAAACCGGAGCUAAUACCGGAUAAUAUAUUGAACCGCAUGGUUCAAUAGUGAAAGACGGUUUUGCUGUCACUUAUAGAUGGAUCCGCGCCGCAUUAGCUAGUUGGUAAGGUAACGGCUUACCAAGGCGACGAUGCGUAGCCGACCUGAGAGGGUGAUCGGCCACCCUGGAACUGAGACACGGUCCAGACUCCUACGGGAGGAAGCAGUAGGGAAUCUUCCGCAAUGGGCGAAAGCCUGACGGAGCAACGCCGCGUGAGUGAUGAAGGUCUUCGGAUCGUAAAACUCUGUUAUUAGGGAAGAACAAAUGUGUAAGUAACUAUGCACGUCUUGACGGUACCUAAUCAGAAAGCCACGGCUAACUACGUG
This 497-nucleotide ribosomal RNA is filed under the name uncultured bacterium. RNAcentral describes it as "partial 16S ribosomal RNA". It matches the Rfam family "Bacterial small subunit ribosomal RNA", at positions 28 to 507 of the family's 1533-position model. The record is from RNAcentral.